Ictalurus furcatus (blue catfish) is the source of this 1788-nucleotide long non-coding RNA. RefSeq lists it as uncharacterized. The transcript is spliced from 4 exons. Lineage: Eukaryota; Metazoa; Chordata; Actinopteri; Siluriformes; Ictaluridae. The record is from RefSeq and is a predicted model, not a curated record.
UGUCCAGGCUUCCGCAAUUGCAGCCACUACUGGAGAUCUUAAUCAAGGUUUCGGGUGGAUGGAAGAGACUGCCGUGACAAGUGUUUAAGAAACAUUUUUCCUUUCCCAGCCUAAUGUGGAGUGUUACAGCAAACGGUCUUCUGGCCAACCUGUAAUUAGAGUGCUACUUCAGGUCAUCGCAGUAAUUGAGAGAAACUUCACAUGAGAGCGUUGCAAUCUCACCAUGGACAAAAUGUCUCUUGACAUUUAAAGCCAACGGUUGAGGUCAGAGUUGAUCCAAACCAUCAUAAAGUUUAUGAGAUUACCACUUACCACAGUAGGAAGAUGGGAAAGUAACGUCUUCAGAAAAGAAAAAGGAAAAAAAAAAAAAAAGAAGACAAAUUCAACUCUGCCUCAAGCAUGAUGAACGAUGGAGUUGGGAUAUGAGCCUGGAAUAAAACAUAGCUUAUAUACUUUGCUGAGCUGCACAGAACAGGUGUUAUCCUGCCAACUCAUUAUAUCCGGGUGGUCUAAGGAUAUAACGAUUCAGGAUGCUGGGUUCUCCUGUUUCCUGGUGGUGCUGUUCAGGGUGUAUUCCCAGCUCACCAGCAGUGUUCCCAGAACAGGCUCUGGAUCCACCAACACCCUGACUGGCAUAUGGUGGUCACUGAAGAUGAAUGAAUGAUGACUCAUCAGUCUAGUCUAGAUUUAGUUGAUGAAAAACCACAUCAAUUUUCAUGAAGAAAAAGGAAACAUUUUAGUCAGUGAGAACGAACCGAUUUGGUGUUUUAUCAUCCUUGCAUUUGCCCAAUUUCUUUUGCUAUUAUGGGCUUCCUAAAGUCUUUGUCCUUCUGCUGAAAUCAUACGGUUACAACCGUGUGUCCAAAACGCAGCAGCUCUGUUAUAGGGAACUGGAGGCAUUCAAUAACUCUAGUGAGCACAUUUAUUAUGUUGCAUACAGCUUAUAAAAGUCAAUUAAUUCAGUGACUUUGGUGGGGUGUCAUCUGAUAUGCUAUUUCUUGCUAGCAAAAUGGCGCCUCUGGUUGUUAAUAUUACAAAUUAGGAGUUUGACACCAUCUCCAACGAAAUUAACAAUGCACCACUGACAUGAAUGGGUCAGAAAAUAACCGUGUUAUGGCACUAAACCCCACACCAGUGCUUUUUCUGUUACGUUCUAUGCUUCUAAUAUGCAAUGUGAUGUACACUGUAAGAUACAGGCUGGGAUAAGUCAGACCUAAUAGACUGAUGACAUUUCCAAUGAUUGUGUGCAGAUAAGAGGUCAUCCUCAUCAUCCGUCACUGUCUUCUAUGUCUUCAUUAAACAGGUUUUUCCUACAUUAGUGCCAGCUCAGCAAGUCCUCUCAUGAGCAAUGCUUAUUUUCUUUGAGUCCUACAGAGACCAUGUGGCUUCACACAUCCCAGAGUGUUGAAUUUUUCUUUGCUUUAAAGGUCAUUUACUGAUGCCUGCAUUUAUAUUCUAAUGCAGCCCAUGAAAAUAAACAGCCAGCUCCACCAGAACCCAUUUUGAUUGGCACAAUGAGAUUGCUCUUAGAAUUCAGCAUAACUAACUGCUAUGCCAAUAGCAACCCUGCUUUGUGGUCAACAACUAUGAACUAUGAUCAGCUGUUAUAUUCCAUUUAUGACAGUCAUAAUGAGGGAGGUGUAAAAGGAAACUGUUCCUUAAGUGGUUAAGUGUGAAUGCAAGUCAAAUUCCUGGGAAAAUUAAUAUGGUAAUCGGCCAGGAUGUGACCUAGUGCAUUUCCUGGGAUAUUAUAAGGCGCUGGGGUCACCAAUUGAUGGGGCAUGUUUG